Molecule: ribosomal RNA, 178 nt
Filed under: uncultured bacterium
Lineage: Bacteria
Description: partial 16S ribosomal RNA
Rfam family: Bacterial small subunit ribosomal RNA
Source: RNAcentral
UCCCCUCGCCCGCCGCGCGCGGCGGGCGGGGCGGGGGCACGGGGGGCCUACGGGAGGCAGCAGUGGGGAAUAUUGCGCAAUGGGCGAAAGCCUGACGCAGCAACGCCGUGUGAGGGAUGAAGGCUUUCGGGUCGUAAACCUCUGUCGGAAGGGAAGAACGGGCAAUGGUCUAAUAGCC